RNAcentral lists this ribosomal RNA (253 nucleotides) under uncultured bacterium. RNAcentral describes it as "partial 16S ribosomal RNA". It matches the Rfam family "Bacterial small subunit ribosomal RNA", at positions 524 to 776 of the family's 1533-position model. The record is from RNAcentral.
UACGGAGGGUGCAAGCGUUAUCCGGAUUUACUGGGUUUAAAGGGUGCGUAGGUGGGUCUGUAAGUCAGUGGUGAAAUCUCCGAGCUUAACCCGGAAACUGCCAUUGAUACUAUAGAUCUUGAAUUAUCUGGAGGUAAGCGGAAUAUGUCAUGUAGCGGUGAAAUGCUUAGAUAUGACAUAGAACACCAAUUGCGAAGGCAGCUUACUACGGAUCGAUUGACACUGAGGCACGAAAGCGUGGGGAUCAAACAGG